UCCAGGCAGGCGAGAGCAGAAGCUCGAGAGGAGGUGCGGCAACCUACCGCCACCACCCUCGAUAGGAGUAACCGGUGGCCUCUCUACUCUCCAGUUAGAAUCCCUCCGCUCUCUCCCCCCUACCGGGAGCCAAACGCUAAGCCUCGAGAAGAGGGAGGGAGGGAGGGAGGACGGAGGGUGUUAGCUUCGCCCAAGGUGGGAGCUUGUUUUCUCGCUUCGUCAGCCCGCGAGUUCGGCAUUUCCCGAGCACUUUUCGGCUUCUCUUUCGUCGGACUCGAGGUUUCGACUGUUGCUGCGUGAAAUGUCUUCAUUUUAUUUCCUUCUUUUGUCUUGGUCUUGGAUUUUGAUGGCUCAUACUGGGAAAAACUAUAAUUAGAAUAGGAAUUGACGAUUUAUUAAGAUCUGUUUUUUUAGUCUUGGAAUUGUGAAUUUCAGUUGUUUUCCCACACGUUUUUCUAUGGCGAGACCAGUUCUAGCUAGUUUGCGGGAUUAAUUGCUUCUAGGCUGGAACUCGGUGGUGCUUGAAAAAAAGUUUGAAUUUUUUGCACUUCUCUUUCACUAUUCUCGUAAACCAAAAAAACGUUUGAAAGUUGGUGUUUUAUGUGGUGUUGCCGUUCGAAAUUAAGUUAAUGGUCUUCUUUUUCCGAGGAGUUUUUUCUCCUUUAGUCCUUUCCCGCUUUGGUUUCGUUAUUAAUUAAUUAUUUCAUUUCGAAGACGGAAUCGGAUGCCAAAUUAUAAAGGUGCAAUUUUUAUUUUUAAGUUUUGAAUUUUUGGUAAAUAAAACAGACGAAUUUGUAAGAAGAGGAGGUCCGCAUCUUCCCAUCAUGGUCGCCUCCGUUGCUGCCUCGUCCUUCUUCCCGGUCCCAUCUUCCUCCUCCUCCACCUCGGCUAAAGCUUCGAGAGGCAUCCCCGAUCGUUUGGAUGUCCGGGGUAGCGUGGCGAAGCCGGCAUCUUCUUCCGGGUGGAUGCAGGCCAAGGCAAACGCCCGAGCCAUCCCCAAGAUCGACGACACCAAGGUUGGCCUGCGAACCGACGUCGAGG
This 1041-nucleotide long non-coding RNA is filed under the name Elaeis guineensis (African oil palm). RNAcentral's name for it is "long non-coding RNA (EGUI_LNC015878)". The record is from RNAcentral. Lineage: Eukaryota; Viridiplantae; Streptophyta; Magnoliopsida; Arecales; Arecaceae.